Molecule: ribosomal RNA, 409 nt
Filed under: Acanthamoeba genotype T4
Lineage: Eukaryota; Discosea; Longamoebia; Acanthamoebidae
Description: SSU rRNA
Rfam family: Eukaryotic small subunit ribosomal RNA
Source: RNAcentral
AUUUUCUGCCACCGAAUACAUUAGCAUGGGAUAAUGGAAUAGGACCCUGUCCUCCUAUUUUCAGUUGGUUUUGGCAGCGCGAGGACUAGGGUAAUGAUUAAUAGGGAUAGUUGGGGGCAUUAAUAUUUAAUUGUCAGAGGUGAAAUUCUUGGAUUUAUGAAAGAUUAACUUCUGCGAAAGCAUCUGCCAAGGAUGUUUUCAUUAAUCAAGAACGAAAGUUAGGGGAUCGAAGACGAUCAGAUACCGUCGUAGUCUUAACCAUAAACGAUGCCGACCAGCGAUUAGGAGACGUUGAAUACAAAACACCACCAUCGGCGCGGUCGCCCUUGGCGUUCGUGUUCACGCACGGGCGCGAGGGCGGCUUAGCCCGAUGGCACCGGUGAAUGACUCCCCUAGCAGCUUGUGAGAA